Molecule: RNA transcript, 5915 nt
Organism: Gadus chalcogrammus (walleye pollock)
Lineage: Eukaryota; Metazoa; Chordata; Actinopteri; Gadiformes; Gadidae
Gene name: NACHT, LRR and PYD domains-containing protein 12-like
Exons: 14
Source: RefSeq, a predicted model, not a curated record
UGUGUUUCUCUCCCUCCUACUUAGGAGAUUGUCUGCAGGUGUGGACGGACGGUGCUGCAGGAGCCUGGCCAGACAACAGACCGGCGGGGUAUACUACGAACCUCGCUGAACAUACCCAGCCAUUCGACAGAGACGCAACUCACGAUCAGAGUUAAAUGGUACUACGAAGCUCACUUAGGAUUAAAGGGGUUUUAUAUGCGUCUGAAAAAACCCCAGUACAGAAACAAUAGGGGCUAAGCAGCUUCGCUGCUCGGACCCCUAAUAAGGUACGUCCAACCUGCCUUAUUCUAUAAUUUAGGGAAUUCACUUUAAUUAAUUUUACUCUGCAAUAACUUGAAUGGAACUUCAGAUGUUUGGGGACAAGCAGCACAGCAGUCAGGGCCGUUCAGGAUGCUGCCAAGUUACGGGUGCAAUUGAGACUUAUCUCGCAGAGCGCUCAGAGAGCAGAUGUUCUCGUGUGAGGCAGCCGGACAGUACGUUGGAGUUCUCCACUGGCAGUGUAGCGUCUCCCAAACGCGGUUAAAGAAUUUUUGAAGUAAGGAGGAGCAUCUCAUCUGAACCUGAUGUCUAUCAUGGAUAUGUAACUGCAGUUCUGUGAGUAUCCCAACUUGACCAUGAAGUUGAACUGCGAACUGUAAGUGAUUAGUUUCUCAUUACUCUUGGGCACAUUGAUGUACUUUGGCUUCCUGGCGAGUUAACCUGUUAGCUGAAGGUUGAUCUGAGAAGUGAGGAUGUUUUAUUGGUUCAUGGGUUACUGAGGUGUUUGUUUUAUGUUGGUUUUAAUGGUUUGUUAAAACGGUUACAGGUUCUAAGUUAUUGUUGUAAGCUGGAGUAAUGGGUUGGGUUCUGAUAUCUUCAGUCUUCUUUCCAGCUACUCUCCUGAGCUCUGCAUCUUCAUCACAUGAGUGUUGCUUUACUGAUGAGGUUGUGGUCUGAGUGAGCAGAGGUGCAUACUGGGAUACAGAGCUGUCUCAAGUCUACAGGUCUGUAGACACGCCCCCUCAGGGGAAACCGUCGUGACGUCAGUUACCUGGACUAGAAUGUUCUUUAAGAUGGAGACAGGGAUUCAGAAGGAGAAACACCAGGGGGAGAUGAGGGGGGCUCCUCAUCUCAACGACUGAAACACAACUACAGUCUGACACAGAGAACCAUGGAACACAUUCAACAGUCCCCUCCAGGCAUCGUGAAUCCUCAGGAACAGUUUCAUUUCCAAGAAGGUCUUAUUUGGGGCCAUCCCCAGAUGUAUCCUGCUCCUCAAGAGCCACCCCCCUCCACUGGGUUGUCUUCUGAACAGAUGACUUCCUUCCUGUCCUCAGGCUGACUAAAGCUGCACUGUUUGCAUCUGUGAAGGCCCCUCAUUCAGGAAACCACUGGACUACAAAGACAUGACUUCAGAGACGUUGAAUCAACCUUGGAGACGCCAAGAAUAAUCCAUCACCAAUGUGGGACGCCACUGAAGAAUGUUGUACAUAAUUUACGUCUCUGGAGACAUUGGUUGUUCUGUUCUGGGUGCCCUGGCAGGAGAGCUGGGGUUGGAUGAUGGAAUGUUCUUUGGCAUGAGGUUUUUACCCUGCAUGAUUGUUUGGCCUUUUAUGGCUCAGUGGUGUGUGUGGGUUUGACAUGAGAUGGAUGAUUUUUGAGCAUCUGGCAUGGGGUUCUACGUGUGUUUGGUUCCACUUGGCAUGGGGUUCUACGUCCGUGUCCUGGGUUCUGUGUGUGUGUGUGUCCGGCUUGCUUUGACGGUGAUAAUGUUCAUACGGGGGUCUGUGUGGUUGGCUUGGGAUAUUGGAAUGGUCAACUAAAUCAUACCUGAUGGACGGCCACACGUUUACUUGAGGCCUCCAGUAGACGUGAAGAGCCCUGAGCGACGCUCCGGAGCGAUAUCCAACACACUGGGCAGGAAGGAGAGUAUCCAACUCGAGUGUAAAAGGAUGCAAGCAGCGUGUUCAGAUCAGUGACUUCAAACUAGGACUACACCAAUCAGGAUCAAUGGAGGAUGGACACCUAAAGGAAUUCCACAAGGAGAGUCUGACGUUGGAAAUGGACCUAAAUGGAUAUUCAAGAUGAUCUUCAGACCUGCAAGGAGACGGCUCUUCAUACCUGGCUGGAUUGAUGGAGAGCCCUGUGGAUCUUGUCUCGCUCUCAGUUGCACGUCUUCGCAGGCUGAACUGUAUUUGUUUCGGACAGGACUAGCUGAACGAUUGGUUCUGAUUUAAGGGAACCAAUCGUGGGAACUCCAACUAGUGCGCUCUUCGAGCUGAAGUUGUGCUCUUCAGCUGAGGUAAGGAAACCUUCACUGGGGCUUCAAGGUGUAAAGAGGAGGACUGUUUCAAAGUGUUCCAUGGUACUCUGAUGAGGACCGUUGUUGUAUCUUCCUCUUGGCCUUUCUCCUCUGAGAAUCCUGCCGCCAUCUUGAAGGAUAUUCUAGCGCAUGUAACUUAUGUCACGACACAUUCUCAAACACUUGGUUUCUCCUGAGGGGCUUGUCUAUAGAACUGAAGACGUCAGACAGCACUGUAUCCCAGCAUGCAUCUCUGCUCUCAGACCACACCCCCAUGAGUAGGAUGCAACACUAGCGAUGGAGAUGUAGAGUUUUAUAAGUAACGAGGGACAAGACAAAGGUGAUUAGAACACAAUGGCAUGUCAAGUCUGUAAAUCUUUAAACCAUGAAGAUGGUUGGAUUGUUCAGGAAUUGGGCUUUAUUUUAGUAUGGGCAGUCCUUAUUGAAUGAUUCCAUUGUUUUUAGGCAAGGAUUUGUUGUUGUGGGAUGUACAUGGUAGUUUGGUUCUUCGUACGGUUUUGAUUGAUAUAACUUGUACACACUGGGUGCAUAAUAAUUUAAAGCUACACUGAAUAGUAGUAAUGACCAACAGCAACAAACAGAUCUCCUCAAGGUAAGUCUGUUGGCUGUGUUUUCAUGAAGACCAUCACUGGACUUCAGGAUCUUCCUCCGUUCAGCUCAAGGUGAGGCGCUGGUUAUGUUUUUUCUUUGGUUGGUUCCGGCUGGAAUGUUCGGAUUCCAGUCGGACGGUUUGUGCUUCCCGCCGUGGAAGGUUUUGAGUGCGGUCACUUGAUUUAGUCCCAAUGGAUAGCAUAGAACGUUGUAGUCUUGACAACCAUUAGAAGCCACCUAGCAGUUAGUUGGAUAGGAAUCUGGCUGAACGUUCUGGAUUGUAUUUGCGUAACCUCGAGCCGUUGCCAACGGAAACUAUUUUUCAGUCGGUUUCCAUUGGGAAAUGUUUUCCCCUUAUCUUAAACAACUUAAGUUUGAUAUUAAAUACAUACUGACACGUACAAUCGUACAAUAUGUUGAUAAUUUCCGAUGGUUGCGGCGUACUUUUAACCACGUUAACGGGACUCUCGCUGCGUACGAAACGGCAUUCUACUUGCGGGCCCAUUUCUGACAUCAGUGAAGGCUGAAAAACAUUUCAAGGUGGAAGGCAAUUUGACAUUUCUUCAGCGGAACCCAGCACCUGAAUAUGGCGAGUAAAUUUGAUUUAAUAUCAAUACUACUUAGUGUUCUUUGUUACUUCUAUCUGCUGUCAUUAAUUGCCACAUAAGUUAAACCCUACCUAAUGGAAUGACGUUAAACAAUGACUUUGGUGCUGAGUUACCAACUGGAUAAUAUCAAAGCUAAAAUAAUGGCCGUCCUUCCCAUGUGUUACAGUAGAAGAUACUCUGUAUCUGUGCAAGGUUAAAAAGGUAACAUGUAGUUUGUCCCAAGGUGUCCACCUCCUCACCCAGAGCCAGACCUCCACCUCCUCACAAGUCCUCCAGAACAGCUGAAAGGCGAGGCUGGGGACCGGAGGCUUGUGGUGCCAGGGUGGACCGGAGACUGAGGCUGGAGACCAGGGGCCUGCAGCACCGGACCAGGGGACCAGGAAUCCAUGGCUGAAGGAGCUGAUGGAGCCGUGCUGAAGGAGCUGACGGAGGCCCUGCCUGGUGGAGGAUGUCUGUCGUGGGGUAGAUGGAGCCUGACUCUGAAACCAGGACUCUGUCUGAGGAGAGCUGAUGGAGGAGCUGAGACGCUGGAGGACGACUAGGAAUCGACCAACAGGGAUUCCUCGACGUAUUUCUGGAGCGGAGGCGAGCUGGUAGGGGAGCCAUGAAUCUGGAGGAUGACCAUGACUCUACCAACAAGGAUUACACACCUGAGCUGAACCACACCUGAGCUGAACCUCACCUGAUCCUGUUUGGUCGGGGGCAGACACACCUGCGCUGAACCCGCCCUGAUCCUGACAUCCUGCUGGUCCCGUCUCCUCAGUUCAUCUGAGCCUCGUCCUCCAGAAGACCUGCUGAGCUCAGCAGUCUGAGGCUGAUGGAUCAAUGACCUCCAGUGGGAGUGAUCUUCUUGACCUCACAUUCCAGGAAUCCAUGGCUGAUGGAGGAGCCGUGCUGAAGGUCCUGCCUAGUGGAGGAGCUGAUGGAGGCCCUGCCUGGUGGAGGAGUCGUGCUGCAGGCCCUGCCUGGUGGAGGUGCUGAUGGAGGCCCUGCCGGGUGGAGGAGCCGUGCUGAAGGCCCUGCCUGGUGGAGGAGCUGAUGGAGGCCCUGCCUGGUGGAGGAGCCGUGCUGAAGGCCCUGCCUGGUGGAGGAGCUGGUGGAGGCCCUGCCUGGUGGAGGAGCUGGUGGAGGCCCUGUCUGGUGAAGGACGUCCGUCGUGGGACCAGGACUCUGUCUGAGGAGAGCUGCUGGAGGACGACUAGGAAUCGACCAACAAGGAUUCCUUAGACCAAUUACGUUUGUAACCAGACCAGGAAUCUGGAGGACUGAUGGAGAAGCUGUACAUCUAGAAGGCAGAUCCUGAGGACCACCAGGACUCUACCAUUAAGGAUUCCUCACGCACCUGAGCUGAACCUCACCUGAUCCUGUUUGGUCGGGGGUAGACACACCUGAGCUGAACCCGCCCUGAUCCUGACAUCCUGCUGGUCCCGUCUCCUCAGUUCAUCUGAGCCUCGUCCUCCAGAAGACCUGCUGAGCUCAGCAAUCUGAGGCUGAUGGAUCAAUGACCUCCAGUGGGAGUGAUCUUCUUGACCCCACAUGUAACCGUGUGCUUCCACACGCCUUUCCCUCACGUCUGUCACUAACCUCACUACUUCACUACUCUCUACUGCUUCCUCUUCUUCUUCCUUCUCUGUGGUUCGAACCUUUACACGGAAGGCGCGUCUUCCUGCCCUCAGAGGGUUCAGCGUUAGGGUUGAGAGUCAGGGUUUAGAGUCAGGGACAGAGCUGGUCAGGGAGGACUGCUUUUACACAAACCUCUUCACUUGCUUUCGGAAUGGUGGUGACAUUUUGAAAAGAUUCAUUUGGGAAAAUGUUUUCAUCUGCUUCCCUUUACAAAAUUGUAUUUAACUUCUGUCAAGUGUUUUUGUUUAUAUAUUAAAAUCCCACAUUGACUUCUACAUGUUUGGUGCGGUUCAUUUAAUUGUCCUUUUAACUUGGUUAAUGUCAAGCUAAACUCCUGCAAUACAUUUAAUAUACAUGAUUGUUAUUCAGCAAUGUUCACAUAAUCCAUUUAGUAAAAAUAUGAAACCUCAAUAUUACUACAAAAUUCAAGCCUAUUCAUGUAUUUAACAAUGUACAUACUGCCCUGCAGGCCAUUCUCUGCUACUACAACACUUUCAAACCACCAACCCAUCUCACAUCAAUGUACUAUAGCUACGUUGGUUCAAACGGAAAAUGUAGUUUGGUGCGAGACUGUUGUCCAGCAGAGGGAGCUGUCAUACACCUUAAUUAUACAGGGAUGUCUGUGUAUUUACAUUUUAAAAUGUUCAUGUGCUGGUCUAGUUUGUCUGCAAAUAACUCUGUGGAUAAGCAGCACAGCAGUCAGGUAGCUAUUUUAUGCUAAAAUAAACUGCAUAUUUUGUUGAUUUAUGUGAAGCAUUAUUUUUUUUUCAUGCAAAUUAAAGCAUAUAAAU